This is a non-coding RNA of Salvia hispanica, 447 nucleotides long. NCBI's taxonomy places the organism in Eukaryota, Viridiplantae, Streptophyta, Magnoliopsida, Lamiales, Lamiaceae. The record is from RefSeq and is a predicted model, not a curated record.
UUCGUGAAGAAGAUUCUUGGCCGCAAGCUGAGAAUUUAGGAGCAAGUGCCUGAUGUUUUUGGAGGCUCUCCAGCGCACUUCCACGACCAACACCUGAGCCACCUACGUCGGCUCCAACACAUCCGCACUGCAACGACAUCCACAUCAUAAGCUCCAAGAUUAUGUUUAGCUAUUUCUUUAUAGAGUUGAGUCUAUUUUAAGUCUUGUUAUCGAGUCGGUUAUUAUUUUCAUCCAGGUUUUCUUUGUGCUUCUUUCCCGGAUCAGAUUAUGAGAGUCGAACCACAUAGGUUUAGCCCUGUUUUUCCAUUUGUAAGUUGAGCAAUACGAACUCAUCUUUUCUGGCCUGUAUCAUAUAUAUAUCUUCGUGAUAUUUUAUCAAUUUGUUUUCUUGUAGUAUAACUUAUAAUUCUCUUUUUUCAAAUGCCCACAAUUGAAUGUUGGUGGAUU